CCUCCUUCCAGGUGAUGCCCAAGCCCAGUCCCAUGAGUUGAAGACAAUCAUAUGCACUUGAUGGUUCAAAUCACAGGAGCUCUGCAGAUUCCCUGUGCUCUGCAUUUAAGGUGGCAGAGAUGCAGAAUGGAUAAACACAAUGGAUUCAGAGAGCAUCACUGCAAUGGAGUGAACCACCAAACACACCCAAGGAUAUCAUGUCUUUGCAAAGGGAAAAGAACACUCUCCUCUUUCAUGCUCCAUAUAAUGAGUAAUGGUGAUCAGGAUCUGAAGAUGAUCUUUACCCAUUGCCAAUUUUAAGAAGGUUUCAGGCAAAGCAUUGUGUAUUUAAGAAAUGUGAAUAUACUGUGGUUUUCAAGCAGACAGAGGAACACCCUUAAAAGAGAUUUAAACAAUUUGAUCAGCAGCAUGAGCAGGUCUGUCUCCAGUUACUCUGUUGUCUUUGCCUAGGAGGCUGAAAUACACCUUUUAAUUGGAAGUUAAACAACACAAUUCUGCUUUUAAUGAAUAAGAUUUACUAUCCUAUAUUGUGCAGUCUGAACAGAGACUCGGUGUAGAGAAUAUUGCCUGAAAUUCUUUUUAUUCAAAUCUUCUGUGGUUUUCUUAGUCCACCUACUAGUUUAUUUCUCAAAUCCAGGAGGUUCAGGUUGCCCUUCUGUCCUGAAUCCUGUUUCAGCCCUAUAAGUCACAGAAUCACAGAAUGGGUUGGGUUGGAAGGGACCUUAAAGAUAAUCUCAGUCCAACCUCCUGCCAUGGACAGGGACAACUUCUACCAGACCAGGCUGUUCAAAACCCCGUCCAAACUGGCCUUGAACAAUUCCAGGGAUGAGGCAGCCACAGCUUCUCUGUGCAGCCUGUGGCAGGGGUUCACCACCCUCAGAGGGAAGAAUUUAAUAUAAAAUAGAAAUCUAUCUUCCUUCAUCUUAAAGCCAUUCUCCCUUGUCCUUCUCCCCACGUGAUCUAAUCCCCCUCCAUCCCCUCUGUGCUCUGCAUGCAGGAGCUCUGUGUCACACACCUCCCCCAGAGCAUCACCCCUGCCAAUCCCACUCCCCAGCUCUCCUGUAUAACCUGAGAUCCCUCUGGAAGUGAAAUGACCCAACCCCUCACAGUGUUUACAUCUAUCCAGCAGCUCUUGGUGGAAAUCAUUUCAGCAGCUCUGGUUUAUAUCCUUUUGAGGUUUCUUAAACUGCUGCCCAGCUCUGAUUAACUUGUCAAGCCCCUGGACUUUCUGUAUUACUCCCUAUUCCCUUGUUAACACAGCUUCCAUAAUGUUCCUGGCUUUCCACAGCUGCUUUGCAUUGUGGAGGCAUUUUCCCCAGGUUCACAGGGAUACCUAAAGCUGUUCUUUUCCAGUAGCUCAGACCCUGUGUGCAAGAGUGACUCUGGUCUACUCUGAUUUUCAAUUUCCUCCAGUUUUCUUAGCUAAGAGUAUCUUAACUGGCAGAUUUUGAGGAAUUAAUAUGAAUCUGGAGCAAAAGUAAAUGUUGCUGGAAAUUCACCAAGCUCCAAGGCAUGUGAGGUCUUCCACAUUCCUGCAGGACAUCUCAUAUUUCUUCAUGUUAUCCAGGCUCUGAGGGACCAGCACGUCAAACACAGCAUGCAAUUCUGCCUGGGCCAUCAGAGGUAGAAGCUGAGUCCUGCUUCCUUCUGGGCAGAUUUCUAUAUAAGAACACAGAAGACCUUAAUGGAUAAUAGAAAAAUUGGUAAAUUUUCUUGGAGACUGCUGGUGAAAAAUAGGCAUAGCCUUAUGUUACAUCCUUCUGGGAUUCCUCAAGCAGCUGCCCGGUUCAAAUUAACUGAAGACAUUUGUUAAGGCAAUGUGUCCUCUUAAUUUGUAGUUUCCAUUUUUGAAAGGUGUUUUGAUUAAAUGGUUUUUCACUUAUCAAACUUGAAGUCUUGAGUAUAAAAUUUAGGGGGAAAAAAACCAAAAAUAAAACAAAACCCAAGGGGAAUGAUGUAUAGGUU
RNAcentral lists this long non-coding RNA (1965 nucleotides) under Cyanistes caeruleus (blue tit). RNAcentral describes it as "lncRNA (ENSCCEG00000013255.1)". The record is from RNAcentral. Lineage: Eukaryota; Metazoa; Chordata; Aves; Passeriformes; Paridae.